GACGAACGCUGGCGGCGUGCUUAACACAUGCAAGUCGAACGGAAAGGCCCUGCUUUUGUGGGUUUCUCGAUUGGCGAACGGGUGAGUAACACGUGUGUAACCUGCCCUUGUAUUGGGAUAACUUCUGCAAACUGGCGCUAAUACCGGAGAGUAGCUUCUGCUACCUGGUGGGUGUUUGAAAGUUUCGGCGGUUGGAGCUGGUCUGGCGGGUUAUCAGCUUGUUGGUGGGGUAUUGGCUUACCAAGGCUUUGACGGGUAGCCGGCCUGAGAGGGUGAACGGGGACAUUGGGACUGAGAGACGGAGCAGUAGGGUACGGGAGGCAGCAGUGGGGAGUAUUGCACAGUGGGGGGAAGUCAGAUGCAGAGGCGCCGGGAGCGGGAUGACGGGCUACGGGUUGAAAACAGAUGUGGCAUGUGACGUAGCGGGAGUGACGGUAAUGGGUAAAGAAGCAACGGCUAACUACGUG
This 467-nucleotide ribosomal RNA is filed under the name uncultured bacterium. Its description in RNAcentral is "partial 16S ribosomal RNA". It matches the Rfam family "Bacterial small subunit ribosomal RNA", at positions 28 to 507 of the family's 1533-position model. The record is from RNAcentral.